UAGCGCAAUCGGUCAGCACAACAGACCGGCAAUCUGUCGAUGCGGGUUCGAGUCCCGU
This 58-nucleotide transfer RNA is filed under the name Dictyocaulus viviparus (bovine lungworm). It matches the Rfam family "tRNA", at positions 8 to 63 of the family's 71-position model. Rfam says of the family: Transfer RNA (tRNA) molecules are approximately 80 nucleotides in length. Lineage: Eukaryota; Metazoa; Nematoda; Chromadorea; Rhabditida; Metastrongylidae. The record is from Rfam by way of RNAcentral.